CUGGGACUGGCGCUAACCACACGUAAGGCCGCUGUUACGAGACUUUGGAGGAAGAGGAGAUUAGGACACAGACACACACAGAGGGAGGACCAAGCGAGGACACAGGGAGAAGAUGGCCGUCUAUGAGCCAAGGAGAGAGACUUCAGAGGAAGCCAGCCCUGACGACACCUUGAUCUUGGCCUUCCAGCCUCCAGAACUGUAAGAAAAUCCAUUUCUGUUGUUUGCCCAGUCUGUGGUACUUCCUGAUGGCAGCCCCAGCAGACUGCCACACCUGCUCUCCCAGGCCUAGUAUAUAUUAGGCCCCCGGUGGAAGAAGUUAACUCCAUGAUGACCAGACUGUAGCCACGACAUAAGCUGCCACAGUUCCGAGAACUGGCCUCAAGAAAAUGGGAACAAACCGACCCUGGAACUGAAGAUUAAUUAUAUUGAUACUUAAAACAAUCAAGA
Molecule: long non-coding RNA, 447 nt
Organism: Eubalaena glacialis (North Atlantic right whale)
Lineage: Eukaryota; Metazoa; Chordata; Mammalia; Artiodactyla; Balaenidae
Exons: 3
Source: RefSeq, a predicted model, not a curated record